GAUGAACGCUGGCGGCGUGCCUAAUACAUGCAAGUCGAACGAACGGACGAGAAGCUUGCUCCUCUGAUGUUAGCGGCGGACGGGUGAGUAACACGUGGAUAACCUACCUAUAAGACUGGGAUAACUUCGGGAGACCGGCGCUAAUACCGGGUAAUAUUUUGAACCGCAUGGUUCAAAAGUGAAAGACGGUCUUGCUGUCACUUAUAGAUGGAUCCGCGCUGCAUUGGCUAGUUGGUAAGGUAACGGCUUACCAAGGCAACGAUGCAUAGCCGACCUGAGAGGGUGAUCGGCCACACUGGAACUGAGAGACGGUCCAGACUCCUACGGGAGGCAGCAGUAGGGAAUCUUCCGCAAUGGGCGAAAGCCUGACGGAGCAACGCCGCGUGAGUGAUGAAGGUCUUCGGAUCGUAAAACUCUGUUAUUAGGGAAGAACAUAUGUGUAAGUAACUGUGCACAUCUUGACGGUACCUAAUGAGAAAGCCACGGCUAACUACGUG
RNAcentral lists this ribosomal RNA (497 nucleotides) under uncultured bacterium. RNAcentral's name for it is "partial 16S ribosomal RNA". It matches the Rfam family "Bacterial small subunit ribosomal RNA", at positions 28 to 507 of the family's 1533-position model. The record is from RNAcentral.